GAUGAACGCUGGCGGCGUGCCUAAUACAUGCAAGUCGAGCGAACGGACGAGAAGCUUGCUUCUCUGAUGUUAGCGGCGGACGGGUGAGUAACACGUGGAUAACCUACCUAUAAGACUGGGAUAACUUCGGGAAACCGGAGCUAAUACCGGAUGAUAUUUUGAACCGCAUGGUUCAAAAGUGAAUGACGGUCUUGCUGUCACUUAUAGAUGGAUCCGCGCUGCAUUAGCUAGUUGGUAAGGUAACGGCUUACCAAGGCAACGAUGCAUAGCCGACCUGAGAGGGUGAUCGGCCACACUGGAACUGAGACACGGUCCAGACUCCUACGGGAGGCAGCAGUAGGGAAUCUUCCGCAAUGGGCGAAAGCCUGACGGAGCAACGCCGCGUGAGUGAUGAAGGUCUUCGGAUCGUAAAACUCUGUUAUUAGGGAAGAACAUAUGUGUAAGUAACUGUGCACAUCUUGACGGUACCUAAUCAGAAAGCCACGGCUAACUACGUG
RNAcentral lists this ribosomal RNA (497 nucleotides) under uncultured bacterium. Its description in RNAcentral is "partial 16S ribosomal RNA". It matches the Rfam family "Bacterial small subunit ribosomal RNA", at positions 28 to 507 of the family's 1533-position model. The record is from RNAcentral.